GUGUUAAAUGAAAGGCGAGAAGGUUAGCACUUCCCUUGAUAAGUAUGAAAGAGGUCCUAGUGGCCUUUACAACACAUAUAUACAUCUAAGGCAUUGCUACCUAUUCCAUGGAAUCUAACUAUGGUUU
This is a small nuclear RNA of Trichosurus vulpecula (common brushtail), 127 nucleotides long. The record is from RefSeq and is a predicted model, not a curated record. Lineage: Eukaryota; Metazoa; Chordata; Mammalia; Diprotodontia; Phalangeridae.